Molecule: ribosomal RNA, 216 nt
Filed under: Glomeromycotina sp.
Lineage: Eukaryota; Fungi; Glomeromycota
Description: partial small subunit ribosomal RNA
Rfam family: Eukaryotic small subunit ribosomal RNA (bases 40-216)
Source: RNAcentral
GGGUCAGUAGGUUGGUCGUGCCACCGGUACGUACUGGUCUCACUGAUUCCUCCUUCCUGUAGAACCGUAAUGCCAUUAAUUUGGUGUUGCGGGGAAACAGGACUGUUACUUUGAAAAAAUUAGAGUGUUUAAAGCAAGCUAACGCUUGAAUCCAUUAGCAUGGAAUAAUGAAAUAGGACGAUCGAUCCUAUUUUGUUGGUUUCUAGGAUUGACGUA